UGGCGGACGGGUGAGUAACGCGUGGGUAACCUGCCUCACACUGGGGGACAACAGUUAGAAAUGACUGCUAAUACCGCAUAAGCGCACAGGACCGCAUGGUCCGGUGUGAAAAACUCCGGUGGUGUGAGAUGGACCCGCGUUUGAUUAGCUAGUUGGUGGGGUAACGGCCUACCAAGGCGACGAUCAAUAGCCGACCUGAGAGGGUGACCGGCCACACUGGGACUGAGACACGGCCCAA
RNAcentral lists this ribosomal RNA (238 nucleotides) under uncultured bacterium. Its description in RNAcentral is "partial 16S ribosomal RNA". It matches the Rfam family "Bacterial small subunit ribosomal RNA", at positions 96 to 334 of the family's 1533-position model. The record is from RNAcentral.